This 455-nucleotide ribosomal RNA is filed under the name uncultured Gammaproteobacteria bacterium. RNAcentral's name for it is "partial 16S ribosomal RNA". Lineage: Bacteria; Pseudomonadati; Pseudomonadota; Gammaproteobacteria. The record is from RNAcentral.
AUGCGUUAGCUGUGCCACUGAACCCGAAAGUCCAACGGCUAGUUGUCAUCGUUUACGGCGUGGACUACCAGGGUAUCUAAUCCUGUUUGCUACCCACGCUUUCGCACCUCAGCGUCAGUUACGGUCCAGAGAGUUGCCUUCGCCAUUGGUAUUCCUCAUGAUAUCUACGCAUUUCACCGCUACACCAUGAAUUCUACUCUCCUCUCCCGUACUCCAGUUUAAAAGUUUUGAAUGCAGUUCCCAGGUUAAGCCCGGGGAUUUCACACCCAACUUGUCAAACCGCCUACGCGCGCUUUACGCCCAGUAAUUCCGAUUAACGCUUGGACCCUCUGUAUUACCGCGGCUGCUGGCACGGAGUUAGCCGGUCCUUAUUCUGUAAGUAAUGUCAUGGUCAUUGGGUAUUAACCAAUGACUUUUCUUCCUUACCUAAAGUGCUUUACAACCCGAAGGCCUUC